Molecule: long non-coding RNA, 1007 nt
Organism: Dermochelys coriacea (leatherback sea turtle)
Lineage: Eukaryota; Metazoa; Chordata; Testudines; Dermochelyidae
Exons: 3
Source: RefSeq, a predicted model, not a curated record
GUCACCCCCGCUUCUGGGCAGGGGGUGGAGAAAGAUUAAUGGCUCCACACCCCUUGUACUCUAAGGGAACCAUCCAUAAGUGGCGGCUUCAGCUGUUGGUGGUGUUAGGCCUACGCAUGCCAAGUAUCCCAGCCUGGGAGAGGCGAGUCCUCGGUUCUUAGGAGAAGGGCGAGGAUGACACACCUUGUUAUACUGCUGUUAAAAUAAUUUAGAACAAAGAUGCAUGAACUGAGACAUAGAGGCUGUGACUUGUUCAAGGACAUACUGACAAUACAAACCAACAGUCCUUGCUGCCCAGUGUCAGGUAUGACUAGCCUCUUUGAGAGAAAGAAGAAUCCCAUGCACCUGGACUGAUCACCCGCUGCCUAACUUAGGGGAAGGCACCUGGACCUUAUAAGGGGUAGACAGCUACAGGUGCCUUCAGGGAGUAAGAAUGCCCCUGCAGGGGCCUGAAUUAGUGGGGAAAGAUACAGUGAAGGAAGAGAGGAUUUGGCCUUCUCCACAGGACUUUUCCCCCAGUAGUGUUUUCCCCCUGCUAACUCAGGGCCUUGUAGAUGCUUUCUUAUUUCCCAUGCAUAUGCUGCCACCCACGUACAGUGAUUUUCUUCUUUAUAAGGCCUAAGUGCCUUUUCUUAAGCCCAACUGGGUAGCAGAUAAUCUGUUGAGGGGCACUGGACCCUGCUCCCUUUUAAAGGGGCAGUGCUCAUGGGACAUUCAGCUUCCCUGAGCUGAAUGAUUCUAAAGUGUUAUCCCUGUGGUAGUCUAUGCGGAUAGGGGGCCUGAAAAUGUUGUUGUUGUGUACAGCUUAAUUAACUAUGAUAGUGUAAUGAACCUGUUCAUUCAUUACAGGGGACUGUAUUCAUCCCCAGUUCAAUAUCUAGCCAGCACAGGUUUCAGAGUAGCAGCCGUGUUAGUCUGUAUUUGCAAAAAAGAAAAGGAGUACUUGUGGCACCUUAGAGACUAACAAAUUUAUUUGAGCAUAAGCUUUCGUGAGCUACAGCUCACUU